Molecule: long non-coding RNA, 1996 nt
Organism: Cyprinus carpio carpio
Lineage: Eukaryota; Metazoa; Chordata; Actinopteri; Cypriniformes; Cyprinidae
Source: Ensembl
GAAAGACCCCAGAUAGCAAUGAGUCGGCGGACCACCGGCGGCGCUCCGGCGGCAGUAGAAGCGUCAGAAUGGCGUAAUCGCAAACACGUUUGACGGUGCACCGCCGGCGGCAGCCGCUUUUUAGAAGCGGCAGCCGCCUUCCUACCGCCUUCGUUCCGCGGCCGGCCCGCGGGCCAACCGCCGUCCCGCCGCCGUUAUAUCAAAGGCGACCCUUCCGCGGCCCGUCGGAGGCAAACGCUAUUUUCGAGCGAUCGGUCGCCGCUUAUAUAUAUAUAUAUAUCAUGCAGUUUAUCAAGAAUAAUGAUUGAUCAAACCAGACAAAUUUCCAUUUGACGUUUUAAUUCCACAUUUCAAAGUACAGUAACUGUCAUUGAAACAUGAUGUCAGAUCCCUGAAAUAUAAAUAACAGAAAAAAAGAGAAAAAAAUAUAUACACACACACACAAAAGAACAUGCAGGUUUCCAAUUAAAUUGUUAAAAAAAAAAAAAACAGCCUUAGCUUACAAGCAAAUUAUAACACUUACAAUAAUUGUUAAUAAUAUAAAGAGGUCAGCUCUGGGAUGAAAAGAAUUACCAGUAAACAUAAGUAAUGAGUAUAUCUGGUACCAAAGAAUGUGCAGGACACCAAAAAAAAUUCAGGUAUAACAUCACAUUUACAAGCCAUUUCUAACAAUAAGAUAAGUGGUAAUAAUUUAGAAUAAAGCUCUGGAGUAGAAUAGACCAUUAUAUUGGCAUUGCUGACCUGGGGUACAAGAUGUCUCUUGUAUCUGUGAUAAACAUCUUCACAUAUAUAUAAAAAAUACUGAGGUAAAAAAAGUAGUAGAACAGAUAUAACUGCAAUGCUGACCUGUGGCACAAGGAUUUACAAGCUAUAUUUAACAAUAUAAUAAGAGUUAAGCACUAUGAUAAUAUCCACAGUGAACAGUGUGGAUUGGGGAGUGCAGUCUGACACUUCUGGCUUCUUUAGGGGUCUUGAUGUUACUGACUGCAGGAUAAAGAAAGGGUUCCAGUUGUCAGUGAUGCUGGGGUGUCAGUAGUCAGCCUAGGUUUAAGGGGUCGGCUGUGGGUCCCUCUCAGCUGUGCGGCACCUUUUUCCGCCUUCACGGUCAGAUGCUCCUUUCAGGUAACGCGUAACGUUAACCUGGACGGCUUCAUCAGUGGCAUCCUGUGUUGCCGGGUUCUUCCGGAUGGCUCCUGUAGAAAAUACAGAUCUGUCAUUCCAUUUGAAUGGCAUAAUGCCAUACACAUCUACUAAACAUUUUUUUUUUUUACAUCCAACUUACUUUGAACAAUGGUCUUCAGGAACAUGUCUCUAAAACAUGCUUUAUCCCCAACUCCAGUCCAGGUUGUAUUGAUGGAAAGGUGAUUAGAGAAGGUACUUUGAAGCAUCCGCCAGACGGUUGUCUUAUAGGUCCCUCCCACAUUUGAUUGCCAAAAACCGAAGCUGAAAAUCCAAAAAAAGUGUUACAAAUUACAUUUCUCUGAAGCUUAUCAUACAUAAAUAUAAAAUGUGACAGGCUGUGGAUUCAGACUGUAGAAUAUGCAGUGUACAAUCUUAAUUCUACUUUUUUUACAUUACCCUAUGGAGUUAUAAACGAAAUCAGCACACUUACAAAUCGUUCCUGGAGCUCUUUAUCCUGCCUCAAACUGUUGUCAAGCAACGCCAAAUCUUCCUGGGUGUCUAGAGGGAGUAACAGAUCCCCUGGCAGGGAUAACUCUCCAACAGACACAUUGGCACUGAAAUGUUGCAGCAUAGUGUCCAUUUUGUUGUCCAUGCUUCGCACAACAUCGGCAAACUCUCCAAGACGUCGCAGCAUUAAGGUCUACUACAUGUAUAGGUGGCCCCAGUGGGAAUUAAACCAACAACCACAGGUGUUGUUUGCAAGUUGUACCUGAUUGCCCAGUGCGAGCAAACGUCUUCAACAUUGUCCCAACUUGCUUCACCUGCUCUUGAAGUGAGCCGCUGUCAUCCGAAGCUACAAAAUGAAAGGCAUAUG